CAUUGAUCGAUGCGUUUGUGA
RNAcentral lists this non-coding RNA (21 nucleotides) under Arabidopsis thaliana (thale cress). The record is from RNAcentral. Lineage: Eukaryota; Viridiplantae; Streptophyta; Magnoliopsida; Brassicales; Brassicaceae.